RNAcentral lists this ribosomal RNA (253 nucleotides) under uncultured bacterium. RNAcentral describes it as "partial 16S ribosomal RNA". It matches the Rfam family "Bacterial small subunit ribosomal RNA", at positions 524 to 776 of the family's 1533-position model. The record is from RNAcentral.
UACGGAGGGGGCUAACGAUGUUCGGAAUUACUGGGCGUAAAGCGCACGUAGGCGGAUCGUUAAGUCGGGGGUGAAAUCCCAGGGCUCAACCCUGGAACUGCCUUCGAUACUGGCGAUCUGGAGAUCGAGAGAGGCGAGUGGAAUGCCGAGUGUAGAGGUGAAAUUCGUAGAUAUUCGGCGGAACACCAGUGGCGAAGGCGGCUCGCUGGCUCGAUACUGACGCUGAGGUGCGAAAGCGUAGGGAGCAAACAGG